AGUGGCGGACGGGUGAGUAACGCGUGAGAAUCUGCCUUGGGGUCGGGGACAACCACUGGAAACGGUGGCUAAUACCGGAUAAGCCGAUUGGUGAAAGAUUUAUUGCCCGAAGAGGAGCUCGCGUCUGAUUAGCUAGUUGGUGAGGUAAGAGCUCACCAAGGCAGCGAUCAGUAGCUGGUCUGAGAGGACGAUCAGCCACACUGGGACUGAGACACGGCCCAGACUCCUACGGGAGGCAGCAGUGGGGAAUUUUCCGCAAUGGGCGAAAGCCUGACGGAGCAAGACCGCGUGAGGGAGGAAGGCUCUUGGGUUGUAAACCUCUUUUCUCAGGGAAGAAGCUCUGACGGUACCUGAGGAAUCAGCCUCGGCUAACUCCGUGCCAGCAGCCGCGGUAAUACGGAGGAGGCAAGCGUUAUCCGGAAUUAUUGGGCGUAAAGCUCCGCAGGUGGCGAUUCAAGUCUGCUGUCAAAGCACGGGGCUUAACUCCGUAAAGGCAGUGGAAACUGAAUAGCUAGAGUGCCGUAGGGGUAGAGGGAAUUCCCGGUGUAGCGGUGAAAUGCGUAGAGAUCGGGAAGAACAUCGGUGGCGAAAGCGCUCUACUGGACGGCAACUGACACUCAGGGACGAAAGCUAGGGGAGCGAAUGGGAUUAGAUACCCC
RNAcentral lists this ribosomal RNA (659 nucleotides) under uncultured bacterium. RNAcentral's name for it is "bacterial SSU rRNA". It matches the Rfam family "Bacterial small subunit ribosomal RNA", at positions 94 to 788 of the family's 1533-position model. The record is from RNAcentral.